UAUCAGCCACGGUCACUGUGGGCUCUGGAGAGUUUAGCACUGCUUUUAGUUAUACGAUGUUCCUUCCAGUUCUGCUGCUGCUGGCAGCUUCAUCCUAUGUGGAAUGUGCAGUAGAGCUCACUCAGGACACCUCAGUGAUGUUAAAGCCUGGAGAUUCUUUAAUCCUCAGCUGUAAAGUAUCCGGUUACUCACUUACUGAUGGCAGCUACGUCACAGCUUGGAUCCGACAUCCUGCAGGGAAAGCUUUAGAAUGGAUCAACAACAUUUGGGGGGGUGGAAGCAUGUAUCAUAAAGAGUCUCUAAAAAGCAAGUUCAGUAUUUCUAAAGAUGCCUCCAGCAGCACGGUGACACUGAGAGGACAGAACAUGCAGACUGAAGACACAGCUGUGUAUUACUGCGCUCGUGUAACACACAGUGACACAACAAGCUGCAGUGCUGAAUUUAGAAACACAGAGUCUGUCGAGGCUACAAACUCCUGGAAUUAAAAAUGCCCUUUAGGG
This is a non-coding RNA of Tachysurus fulvidraco (yellow catfish), 500 nucleotides long. The record is from the annotation of a RefSeq genome assembly. NCBI's taxonomy places the organism in Eukaryota, Metazoa, Chordata, Actinopteri, Siluriformes, Bagridae.